UUGAACAAGUAAGAAGACUCUAGUCGAGACUGCUCGACUAGGAGUUACCCUGAACUAGGGAAAACAAUCGAUGGUACUAUCGAUACUAUCGAUGGUUUUCUAAAACGGCUAUACCUCGAUAUUAUUUUCGUCUAUCGAUAGUCUGACAUUAAAAAAAGUGAGCGUUAAGUUGGCGAACGCCAAUCCCGAAGAACGCAAAAUGAGCCUUACGAGCUUGUGUGCCAAAAUAAGUAAUAUUGAAAGAACUAGUUCAGUGGCUCAGUUAGUCACAGACAAUGCGAAUUCCAUGGUCAAAGCCUGUGAAAUUCUUGCAAAAAAUCAUUUACCCUGCUUUGCGCAUUGUAUCAAUUUAUUGGUGCAGGAUGAUUUGUCUCUUGAAAAUAUAAAAUCCUUAAUACGCACUGUAAAACAAAUUGUGACAUAUUUCAAUAGCAGUUCUAUUCAGUAUGCUAAACUUAAGAAUGCUCAAGAGCGGGAAAACCCAUACAGUCUUAUUCAAGAAGUUCCCACUAGAUGAAAUAGCGCUUUACAUAUGAUGCAACGGAUAUUAUUGGUCAGGGAUGAUAUCGGUCACGUCCUUUUAAAUUGUUCAAAAGCACCAUCAACUUUGAAUAACGACCAAUAUGAUUGCAUCGCAGACUUAUGCGACAUUUUAAAACAUUUUGACGAAGUCACCAAAAAAGCAUCAGGAGUAAAGGCAGUAUCAGUGUCAUUAAUCAUACCAUGUGUUUUUGGCUUGGGAUGCACCAUGGAUGGACUUAAGACAAAAAAUGAGGAUUUCAAUUGAUUCCGAAACUUGCACUUUUAUUAAAAAUCGGAUCAAAAUAAGACUGUCACAUUAUCAAACCAGAACCGUUCCACGCUUGGUCACAAUGUUGGACCCAAGGUUCAAAAACGAAGCUUUUGGAAAUGCUGUCAAUGCUCAAGAAGCCUCGACAAUUUUAGAAACGAAAGUGAAGAGCAUAAUAAAUGUUGAAAAAAUGACCCAGUAACUGAUUUACAGCCAACGCACCCUGACAAUGUUCUUACAUUUUUGGCCGAUAGAAUUCAGCGGAAACAACGAACUUGUAUGUCAGAUGCAAUAAGCGCCAUGAGGCAAUACAUUGAGGAGAGAAAUGCUGAUCAUGAUAUUGACCCCUUGGAGUACUGGAAGAUUAAUGCGCAACAUUUUAGUCACGUCGCACAGUGCGCUCGCAAGUACCUUUGCGUUCCGGCAAGCUCCACCGAGUCGAAGAGAACUUUCAGUAAAGCUGGUUAAAUUAUUGGCACACGUCGGUCCCGCCUUAAAACAAAAUAUGUGGACGUCUUACUGUUCUUAAAUAAAAACAUCUGGCUCCUAGAUGGAUAGCUGUAAUAUUAUAUUUGUUGAAGAUUUUCGGUUUAAGUUGUUUAAAUACUUUUAAGUUUGAAUAUUGUUUUGUUUUCCUUUUUUAUCUUAUAUUACAUUCCAUUACAUAUUUACCUAUUACUGCUAUGAAAAUUAUGAAUGAAUCUAUUUUUAAGUUGCUUCAAAUA
Long non-coding RNA from Drosophila mojavensis, 1515 nucleotides. RefSeq lists it as uncharacterized. The transcript has 2 exons. The record is from RefSeq and is a predicted model, not a curated record. Lineage: Eukaryota; Metazoa; Arthropoda; Insecta; Diptera; Drosophilidae.